GUCAGGACUUUCUACUCCCACACUUCAAGAAGCGAACCACCCCUCACGUCCUCUCUCCCUGACCAGGCAACCCCCAGAGACUGGCCAUUGUAAAAAGACUUUGUGCUUCACCUGUCAAGUUCCAGAGCAUUCCCUCAUUGUCGAUUUCUCGCGGACCAGAGGCGCCCCCUUGUGGUCGGGUGAUUCCACAGACCCAUCUGCUGAUCCUCGGGCAUUGUAGAAGCUGCCGACGAUGGUGAUGCUCCAUCUGACACGCUGUCCCCAGGGCUUUCCGGAGUGAAGCCUGAGGUGAUCUCCUGGCUGGAAGGAAGAUACCUGAGGACUGGAGGAGAGGUGUGUGUGCAGAAGUUAAAUCACAUCUCCAGGAGUUUUCUCUGAAGCAAUUUGAUUUGGGAAUUGGGUCUGCGAAUACGAGUGAGUUGGGAAGCAGCCAGCCCUGGUGGAAUGUCUCUGAUCCUGCGCUCUGUGACAAUGUCUCGAGUGAGCAGUCCCACCCUCUUCCCCCUGGGGAUGCCGAGACAGGCAGGAUGUCUUCUGAGGGUGAUCAGAAUGGAGAGAGCGACCUCAUUCUGAAGAAGCCCUCCCCUGAGAAAAAUCUCCUUCCAGUCUGUCGUCCUCAGUUUUGGGAAACAA
Long non-coding RNA from Sorex fumeus (smoky shrew), 633 nucleotides. RefSeq lists it as uncharacterized. NCBI's taxonomy places the organism in Eukaryota, Metazoa, Chordata, Mammalia, Eulipotyphla, Soricidae. The transcript is spliced from 6 exons. The record is from RefSeq and is a predicted model, not a curated record.